Camellia sinensis is the source of this 1772-nucleotide RNA transcript. It is a transcript of the gene named putative F-box/kelch-repeat protein At3g27910, with no coding region annotated. Lineage: Eukaryota; Viridiplantae; Streptophyta; Magnoliopsida; Ericales; Theaceae. The record is from RefSeq and is a predicted model, not a curated record.
AACCCUAAAAUAGACCUAGGCGUUUUCGAAACCCUAAAUAGAGAUGAGAAUGCCAUCUACGCAUUUUCGAAACCCUAAAUUAGAGAUGAGAUCACUGUGGCGGCAGCGAAGAAGAACAAUUGGAAGAAAGAAACAGAGUGAAGGGAAGAUGGCAAUGAUAGUCGGAGGACGAAGAAUGGGGAAGAGAUCAUAUGAAUCGAGCUCAAGCUCCUCGGAUUUGCAAGAGGGUCCUGAAAAAUCUCUCUGCCUUUUCAUGUCCGGUUGGGGCUGUCCUCAACUUGAGGGUCCGAUGUUGUACUCCGUCGAUUUAGACGGCAAGAGUUACAAGAGGAGAAAGUUAUGCCGAAGGUGCUGCAGGGAGAUCCUCGGAGAACCAGGGCCAGAGCCUGAGCUUGAUCUUGAUGAGCGUUUACGUUUACGUAGAAGUAGCGGUGGAUUCCGUGAACUGACUCCAUUGAUCUCAACUUCGAGUUGGCCUCCCGGUGGUUCCAUGGUCGUCGCUCUCGGCUCUGCUGUCUACGUCCUUGGUGGUUGCAUCUCAAACACUGCAACCGACAUAGGAUGGUUAUUAUCUCCCGAGGUCUCUUAUUUCGAGACUAAGAGUCCCGAGAAGGGCUGGAUUCCAGUUCCUGAUAUGCUGAAUUGCAGAGAUAAGGGGGCAGCAGUAGCUGUGGAAGGCAAGAUCUAUGUUUUUGGGGGAAAUGAAUUGGAUAAUGCCCGAGAGCCGUGGGCUGAGGUUUUUGACCCCAUAAAAAACAAAUGGAAGCCUCUGUGUCGUCCCCCUAAAUCUCUCCGCAAUAGCAAUUACAAUUAUACAGCAUUAAACGCUGUUGCUUAUGGAGAAGAAAAUAAGAAGAUUUUGAUUGGCUGCAUGUUUGUGUACGAUGUGAAUAGCAACACUUGGGAAAUACUCCCCGCUAAAGACGAAGGUUUAGCUUUCGUCAGACGUAGUUAUAAUAAUUUAGUUGGGGUUGGCAAUUCCCUGUAUUGGACAAGAUGGGGAAUCAUCCAUGUGUUCAAUAUGAAGACUCGGAGGUACUAUGUUUCAAAAAUUGAGGGUAUCGGGAAUCAGAUUUGCAAAGGUUAUGAUCCUCCACCUGAAAGAUUGCUUCAUUUGGGUGGAAAGGAGUUCUGUCUUCUCACCUUGGAUGAGAUCGAGGGACGACGGAAACGCACCAAAAUUCGUUGCUACAAGUUUAAAGUUUCUAAGCAGGGCACUAAAAAGGACCCAGGCAGCUUCAUGGCUUCCCUUGUAUGUCGUGAUCGUUAUAUAGUUGAUUGGCCUUUAGACUUCCGCAAUGACCAUGGCCUAGUGCUGUAAAGUUUGCUUUACAUCCUAUCUUAUCUUACUUAUUUGCAAUUUAAUUGUUGGCUAUAAUAACCAGAUUUGAAUUCUUCAUGAACUACAUUUGUACUGUGCUAUAUCUUACAUGGCUAUUACAGUUCUCUUGCUUCUCUGGAGUUUUAAGGGCUGGAAUGAAAAAUGAAGGGAUGUGAAGCCGGGUGGGAAAGUACUGGAGGAAGUGAUUACGUAGAAUUUGCAAUAGACAUGUGGAGAUCUUGAUACUCUAGAGGAGAGACCUGCGAGGUGCUCUAAUGUGGAGAUAUUAAUGGUUCUUUUUGUUGGUAGUCAUGCAGUAAAAUAGUGCUUUUGAGAUGAAUUUAUUUUGGUGUUGUGUAAGCUUGCAAGACUUGAUGAAUGCAUGAAGUGACACUAUUUAAGUUAUGCAGUUUGGGAAUGAAUUGGAGAAGUUAGCUAUAUUUAUUUUGGU